UCAUCAGGUAGAGUUAAUUCUUACCUGCGGGGCUUCGGCCCUUCAGACACAUGAUGAUAUUGGGCGAUGAGUUACCUGUGACUUACAACCCACAGGUUCGCUGGGACUUGCAACGCUCAGUGGACCUAGUCUGAU
Small nucleolar RNA from Mytilus californianus (California mussel), 135 nucleotides. RefSeq annotates it as U8 small nucleolar RNA. The transcript has a single exon. The record is from RefSeq and is a predicted model, not a curated record. NCBI's taxonomy places the organism in Eukaryota, Metazoa, Mollusca, Bivalvia, Mytilida, Mytilidae.